AUCGCUUCUCGGCCUUUUGGCUAAGAUCAAAGUGUAGUAUCUGUUCUUAUCAGCUUAAUCUCUGGUACGGUCUCCAUAGGGGACCCAGAAGAUUAAACUGAUUUUUGGAAAAUGACGGAGUGCUAGGGGCUUGCUCCACCUCUGUCGCGGGUUGACCCGGUAUAGCAGUACCUCCGGGAACGGCCCACUCUAU
This 193-nucleotide small nuclear RNA is filed under the name Rhodnius prolixus. Its description in RNAcentral is "U2 spliceosomal RNA". It matches the Rfam family "U2 spliceosomal RNA". From Rfam's summary of the family: U2 is a small nuclear RNA (snRNA) component of the spliceosome (involved in pre-mRNA splicing). Complementary binding between U2 snRNA (in an area lying towards the 5' end but 3' to hairpin I) and the branchpoint sequence (BPS) of the intron results the bulging out of an unpaired adenosine, on the BPS, which initiates a nucleophilic attack at the intronic 5' splice site, thus starting the first of two transesterification reactions that mediate splicing. The record is from Rfam by way of RNAcentral. Lineage: Eukaryota; Metazoa; Arthropoda; Insecta; Hemiptera; Reduviidae.